This 148-nucleotide signal recognition particle RNA is filed under the name Nomascus leucogenys (northern white-cheeked gibbon). RNAcentral's name for it is "Metazoan signal recognition particle RNA". It matches the Rfam family "Metazoan signal recognition particle RNA". Rfam says of the family: The signal recognition particle (SRP) is a universally conserved ribonucleoprotein. It is involved in the co-translational targeting of proteins to membranes. The record is from Rfam by way of RNAcentral. Lineage: Eukaryota; Metazoa; Chordata; Mammalia; Primates; Hylobatidae.
GCCGGGCGUGGUGGCGCACGCCUGUAAUCUCAGCUACUUAGGAGGCUGAGGCAGGAGAAUCACUUGAACCCGGGAGGCAGAGGUUGCAGUGAGCCGAGAUUGCACCACUGCACUCCAGCCUGGGCGACAGAGUGAGACCCUGUCUCCA